AACGAACGCUGGCGGCAUGCCUAACACAUGCAAGUCGAACGAGACCUUCGGGUCUAGUGGCGCACGGGUGCGUAACGCGUGGGAACCUGCCCUUAGGUUCGGAAUAACUCCCCGAAAGGGGUGCUAAUACCGGAUAAUGUCUUCGGACCAAAGAUUUAUCGCCUUUGGAUGGGCCCGCGUUGGAUUAGCUAGUUGGUAGGGGAAAAGCCUACCAAGGCGACGAUCCAUAGCUGGUCUGAGAGGAUGAGCAGCCACACUGGGACUGAGACACGGCCCAGACUCCUACGGGAGGCAGCAGUGGGGAAUAUUGGACAAUGGGCGAAAGCCUGAUCCAGCAAGGCCGCGUGAGUGAUGAAGGCCUUAGGGUUGUAAAGCUCUUUUACCCGGGAUGAUAAUGACAGUACCGGGAGAAUAAGCACCGGCUAACUCCGUG
This 433-nucleotide ribosomal RNA is filed under the name uncultured bacterium. RNAcentral describes it as "partial 16S ribosomal RNA". It matches the Rfam family "Bacterial small subunit ribosomal RNA", at positions 29 to 507 of the family's 1533-position model. The record is from RNAcentral.